AUACGAAGGUCCCAAGCGUUAUUCGGAAUCACUGGGCGUAAAGAGUGCGUCGGCGGUUUGGUAAGUCAGGUGUGAAAUCCCGAAGCUCAACUUCGGAACUGCAUCCGAUACUGCCAGACUAGAGUAAUGGAGAGGCAGGUGGAAUUCUCGGUGUAGCAGUGAAAUGCGUGGAUAUCGAGAGGAAGACCAAUGGCGAAGGCAGCCUGCUGGACAUUUACUGACGCUGAGGUACGAAGGCUAGGGGAGCGAAAGGGAUUAGAAACCCGAGUAGUCC
Molecule: ribosomal RNA, 274 nt
Filed under: uncultured bacterium
Lineage: Bacteria
Description: partial 16S ribosomal RNA
Rfam family: Bacterial small subunit ribosomal RNA
Source: RNAcentral